CCAACAUGUACUCAGAGAAAAUAAAAGGCUAUAAAUUAUAUAUAUAUAUAUAUAUAUAUAUUUUAAGCACUAGAAUUUUCAAAACUUAUUUCUUAAAAAAAAAAACAACUCUGAAAAGACUUUGCAACUAGAAAGGUUUAAGUGUUACUCGGCGUCAGGGGACGGAGUGGGGGGAAACCAGACAAGAACGCCCAUCAUGAAUUGCUCCCCACAAAGAAAACAAAUUUCUAGGAACUUGGCCGUUUUCCCCUGUCCUGAGUGGGGUUCCCGAUUCCGUGCCGCUUUGAGGGAAGCUGCUCCGUGAAUGUGAGAAAGUUUUUCCCCCAGCCCCCAUCUACUCCCCACCCCCAGCUAUGAAUUUCUUAUUUCAGGAGGGAGGACAAACAUGGAGACACACAUUUUUACAGGAGUCUAAUUGGCCGAUUUUUCUCCGGCUUCUCUUCUCCAUCCCGUCUCUUGGAAUUUCUUGGCACGCCCUACCUGAGAUCCCCUACGGGAGAUUUCCUCUUGGCUCCUGCGGUUCUGAGGACGUUCUGAAAAGUUCCCAAGCCCCACCUUUGGUAGCUGCCCAGACCCCAGCUUCCAAUUCUUCCCUCUUCUUUGCACAGGUAGCCGUCAGCCCCAUAGCACCACCAGCGUCCAAAAUAGACCACUUUUAGCAAAUCCGGCAGGGCUGGGGCAGUCUAAGAGUUUGGAAACAAACUGAGAAUAGAGGGGUCCUAUUUCAUGCCAGGUUCUCGCUGGUUUACAUUCCAACUCCCCUCUGUCCGUUGUGCGAAAACGUCUCCAGGCCGACCUUCAUUCAUUUAUUGUCAACAAACGUCCUGGGAGAGCGGCUACAGCCGGCCGCUGAACCCAGAAGGGACUUUCUCUAGGCUUUCUUGGCACCCUCCCAAUUAUCUUCCUUCUCUUGCCCGAGGGCAGACCAACACAGCUACGAACAUGGGUGACUGAGGGUCAGACCCCUUCCCGGAACCGCCUCCAAGCUCCUAAUUUUUGCCUAAUGUUAAACCAUAUCCAAAGAUGAAUAUUUAAACAAUCAAUUCAGUGGCGGAGUAAAUUAAACGUUAUUCUCCGAUCAAACAGGAGCUUCGGGUCCACCUGUUUGGAAGCACCCAGGCAGCUUGGAGAGGUCCGGCCUUCGGGUGCGACCCGCAGGGGUUGCCCUGCCCGGUUCGCGGAACGGACGUUUACCUGUCGCAGCUACGAACCCACCAACGACACCAAGCACUUGCCGGGCAGACCAGGCGUCGUGGAGGCGCCCCAGCCCCCCCAACUCCCCCGCAACGACGCGUCCCAGGGGUGCUGUUGUAGGAGCAAGGGAUACAAUGAUGAUCAAGGCAGAUGCAGCCGUUACCUUCAGGUUGUGGAGUCCGGAUACAGACUGGAGGCAGGCAGCUGUAAGAUGUGUGAGAAAUGCUGCGCUGGAUCAGCCCAUGGUAUAGGAGAGCAGGUAAGGAAGGGUGGGGACAGGAGCGGACAACCUGGAGGAAGAGGCACCUAAGCAGAGUCCGGAAGGCUGAGGAGGAGUCAGCAGGUAAAAGAGAGGGGAAUCAUGACAUGACAUCUCAACUGUAGGACACGGCUAGCUGGCUGACUUAGCUGCUGUAACACCGGAUUUUUGCAAGACUCCCUGAGUAUUUCUCGUGGACUUGCGAACAAAUCUGAGCAAGAAAACCACGUAAUUUCUUUUAUGCCUUGCCCAAGAAAGCCACCUGGAGGGGCAAGGGGACCUUAGCAGAAAGAAGCUGGAGGUGGGGGGAGAACAGGGUGAUAUUACUCUCCAUAUGGUGGGGGGUGGACACCUCCCUGUCAUAUGGCUCGUAAUAUCCAGCGGGGGAGAGGGGGUUGACUUUCCCCUACGUUAUUGGUAAUAUCACCCCCCUCUCUCCCGCUAAAUAUUAAGUACAAUAUCACAGGUGGGGUGUACACCCCCGGCGAUGUUUGAAGUAAUAUCAACUUCUCCCCCUCUGGAUGUUAGAAACAAUAUCACAGGGGGGUGUACACCCCCCUGCGAUCCUGGGAGUAACAUCAUCCUCUUUCCCCCGGAUAUUAGGAACAAUAUCACGGGGAGGGGGGUGCACACCCCCUGCGAUAUUGAAAGUCAUAUCAUCUUCUUUCUCCCCGGAUAUUAGGAACAAUAUCACAGAAGGUGUUUACAACUUUUGCAAUGUUGGGAGUAAUAUCAUCCUCUCUCACCCUAGAUAUUCAGAACAACAUCACAUGGGAAUUGUACCCUUCUGUUUAUUGAGAGUAAUAUCAUCCUCUCCCUUUCUGUAUAUUAGAAACAAUAUCACAGAGGGCUGUGUACACCCCCAGGAAUGUUUUGAGUAAUAUUAUCCUCUCUCUGCCUGGAUAUUUGGAACAAUAUGACAGGAGUUGUGUACACCCACUGUGAUAUUCGGUUUAAUAUCAACUUCUAUCCCCUGGAUAUUGGGAGUAAUAUCUAUCUUUAGCCCCUGGAUACUAGGGACAAUAUCACAGGAGGGGUGUAUACACACGGCGCUAUUGGGAGUAAUAUCAUUUUCUCCACCCCUUGAUAUUAGGUACAAUAUAACAGUGGGGAUGUGUACCCCCUGGGAUAUUGGGAGUAAUAUUAAUCUCUUCCCCUGUGGAUGUUAGGAACAAUAUCACAGAAGGGGUGUAUACCCCCAGCGAUAUUGGGAGUAAGAUCAUCCUCUCCCAACUUGGAUAUUAGGAAUAAUAUCACAGGGGAAGUGUAUAACCACUGCGAUAUUGUGAGUAAUAUCAUCCUCUCCCAAAAUGGAGAUUAGGAACAAUAUCACAGGAAAGGUGUACACCUCUUCUGAUAUUUGUGGUAAUAUCAUCUCCUCCCCUCAUUGAUAUUAGGAAAGAUAUCACAAGGUGUGUACAGCCCCUGCGAUAUUGGGAGUAAUAUUAUUCUCUCUUCCCCUGGAUAUUAGAAAUAAUAUCACAGGCGGAGUGUACAGCAAACCCCCUGCGAUAUUGGGGGUAAUAUCAUCCUCUUUUAACCUGGAUAUUAGGAACAAUAUCACAGGGGGCUUGUACACUUCUUUUGACACUGGGAGUAAUAUCAUCCUCUCCACAAGUAAAUAGUAGGAAAAAUAUCAAAGAAGGUGUGUACACCGCUUGUGAUAUUGGGAGUAAUAUCAUCCUACCUCACCUGGAUGUUAGAAAAAAUAUCGGGGGGCGUUUACACCACCUGCGAUAUUGGGAGUAAUAUGAUUUUCUACCCCAGUGGAUAUUUAGAACAAUAUCACAGGGGCAGUGUACACCCUCUGAGAUAUUGCGAGUAAUAUCGUUCUCACCCCGCCGCCCCCACCCCAGAUAUUAGGAACAAUGUAACAGGCAGAUUAUACACCUGCUGCAACAUUGAAAGUAAUAUCAUCCUUUUCCCCCUGGAUAUUAGGAACAAUAUCUUAUGGGGGGUUUACAGCCCAUUCCAUUUUGGGAGUAAUAUCAACUUUUCAUUGCUGGAAAUAAGAAACAAUAUAGCAGUUCUGGUGUACACACCCUGUGAUAUGGGCAGUAAUAUCAUAGACUCUCCCCCGGCAUAUUAGGAACAAUAUCAGAAAGGGGUGUAUACCCACAGCGAUUUUGGGAUUAAUAUCAUACUCUCCCCCCUGGAUAUUAGGAACCAUAUCAAAGAAGGAGUGUCUACCCCUUGCGAUAGUGACAGUAAUAUCAUCCUCUCCCUCCCUGGAUAUUAAGAACAAUACCACAGAAUUGGCGUACACCCACUACGAUCAUGGGAGUAAUGUCAUCCUCUAACCCCUGGAUAUUAAAAACAAUAUCACAGAGGAGGUGUACACCCCUCGCGAUAUGGCCAGUAACAUCAUCGUCUCCUCCACUGCGUAUUAGGAACAAUAUCAAAGGGGUGUGUACACCUCCUGCGCUAUUGGGAGUAAUGUCAUUCUCUUUUCCCCUGAAUAUGAGGAAUAAUAUCACUGAUGGGGUGUACAACUCCUACGAUAUAGGCAGUAAUAUCAUCCUCUCCCAACCUGGAUAUUAGGAACAAAAUAACAGGACAUCUACACCCCCUGCGAUACUGGGAAUAAUAUCAUCCUCUCUCCCACUUAAUAUUAGAAACCGUAUCCCAGGAAGAGUGUAAACCCUCUGAGAUAUUGAGAGUAAUAUCAUCCACUCCCUACCUAAAUAUUAAAAACAAUGUCACGGGAGGGGUGUACACCCCUACAAUAUUGGGAGUAAUAUCAUCCUCUCCCUCCCGAGAUAUUAGAAACAAUAUAAAAGGGGUCGCGUACACCCCCUGUGAUAUUGGGAGUAAUAUCAUUCUAAUCCCCCCUGGAUAUUAGGAAGAAUAUUAUACAGGGGAUGUACACCCCUUGACAUAUUGUGAGUCAUAUCAUUUCUCUUCCCUUGGACAAUAGGGACAACAUCACGGGGGGGGGGGUGUCCCCUGUUAUAUUGAAAUUAUUAUCAUCCUCUCCCAAACUGAAUAUUAAAAACAACGUCACGGGGCUGCUGUGACCCCAGUAAUAUGGACAGUACUAUCAUUGUCUCCCUCCCUAAAUAUUAAGAACAGUAUCACAAGAGAGGUGUACACCCCCUGCGAUAUGGCCAGUAAUAUCAUCGUCUCUACCUUUGGAUACUAGGAACAACAUCACAGAGGGUGUGUACACCCCCUGCGAUAUUGGGCAUAAUGUUAGCCUCUCUUCCCCUGGAUAUAAGGAACAAUAUCCCUGGUCGGGGGAGGUGGAGUACAUUAAGAACAAUAUCUGAAGGAGGUGGGUGUACACCCCCUGAGAUAUUGGGUGUAGUAUCAUCCUCUCUUUCCUAGGAUACUAAGAACAAUAUCACAGGAGGGGUGUACAGCCCCUGCGAUAUUGGGAAUAAUAUCACCCUAUCCCCCUCUCGAUAUAAGGAACAAUAUCCCAGGGUGGGUGUACAUCCCCUGCGAUAUUGGGCGUAAUGUCAUCAUCUCCCAACGUGGAUAUUGGGAAUAAUGUCCCAGGGGGGUGUACACCUUCUUCGAUAUUGGGAGUAGUAUCGUCCUCUCCCCUCGGGAUUGUAGGCAAAAUAUGGAAGGGGUUUUACAGCUCAUGCGAUAUGGGCAGUAAUAUCAUCCUCUCCACCUAGAUAUUAGGAACUAUAUCACAGGCGGCUGUACACUUGUUACGAUAUUGGGAGUAAUAUCAUCCUCUCCCAUCAUGGAUAUUAAGAACAAUAUUCCAAAGGAGGUGUACACCCCCUGCGAUACUGAGAGUAAUAUUAUGCUCUCCCCUUCGGGAUAUUAGGAACAAUAUCGCAGGAGGUGUGUAUAACCCCUGUGAUAUUGGGAGUGAUAUCGCCUUCUCCCCCUGAAUAUAAGGAACAAUGUCACAGGAGGAUGUACACCCCCUGGGAUAUUGGGAGUAAUAUGAUUUUCUCCCCCUCGAGAUAUUCGGAACAAUAUCACAAUGGGUGUGUACAGCCGCUGCGACAUUGCCACUGGUAUCAUCCUCUCCCUCCCAGGAUAUAAGGAACAAUGUCACAAGGGGUGUACACCUCCUGCGAUAUUGGGGGUAAUAUCUUCCCCUCCCCCGCUGGCCAUUAGGAACAAUGUCACAGAAGAGGUGUCCACUCCCUGCUACAUUGGGAGUGAGAUCAUCCUCUCUGUCCCUGGAUAUUAGGAACAAUAUCCCUAGGGAGUGUACACCUCCUGCAAUAUUGAGACUAACAUCAUCCUCUUGCCCCCUGGAUAUUAGGAUCAAUAUCACAGGGGUGGUGUACAUCCCCUGCGAAACUGGAAGAAAUAUCAUCCUCUCCACCUUUGGAUGAUAGGGACAAUAUCACGGGGGAAGUCUACGCCCCCUGCGGUAUUGGGAGUCAUAUCAUCCUCUCCCACCCACGAUAUUAGGAAAAAAGAUGACCGAAGGGAUGUAUACACACUGCGAUAUUUUUCAUAAUGUCAUCCUCUACUCCCUGGCAAUUAGGAAUAACAUCAUAGAGGGGUGUACACUUUCUGUGAUAUUGGGAGUAACAUCCUCUACCCCUCGGAUAUCGGGAACAAUUGUAUUAAGUAUUAAUAUUCAUAAAUAUAAUAACAAUUAAUAGAAAUCAUCGAUAUAAAUAAUUACUAUAAAGAUAGUAAAAGUUAAUACGGAUUAAAAAUAUUAAUGUUUACUAUUAAUAAUUAACAGCAACCUCACUAUUAAUAAUAACAUAAUGAUAUCGGUAAUUAAUGUUACUUAAUUAAAUCAAUAAGUGAUGUUGGUAAUAAAACAAUAAUUAAUAUUAAGGUUAAUAACGAAUAUUGAAAAAUGACAAUACUAAUAAUUAAUUUUAACCAUGCAUAAUCAUAUUUAAAAUAAUCAUUAAUGAUUAAUAACGUUAUACUAUUAAUUAAUAUUACCAUUGAUAAUUAUUAAGACUGAUGUUUAAUAAUUAGUAAUAUUAUUAAGACUGAUGCUUAAUAAUUAAUCAUAUUAUUUCUCCUAAUACCGUAGGGGGUGUACACCUACCUGUGAUAUUGUUCCUAAUAUCCAGGGAUGGAGAGCAUGAUAUUAGUUUUAAUAUCUCAGUAGGUGUACACUCACCCUGUGACACUGAUCCUAAUAUCCAGGGGAUAGAGCAUGACAUGACUCCCAACAUAGCAAUUAAUGUACAGCCACCCGGUGAUAUUGCUCCUAAUAUUCACGGAAGAAGAGUAUGAUAUUACUCCCAAUAUCGCAGGGAGUGUACACCUCUUCUGUGACAUUGUUCCUGGUAUCCCGCCGGGGAGAGGAUGAUAAAAAUUAAAGUAUCGCAGGCUGUGUUCACUCACCCUGUGAUAUUGUUAUAAAUAUCCUGAAAGGGAGAGGACGAUAUUACUUCCUAUAACAGAUAGAUAUUACUCUCCAUAAUAGAGCAGGAGGUGUACACCCACCGUGUGAUACUGUUCCUAAUAUUCAGAGGCAGAGAGGUCGAUAUUACUCUCAAUAUCGCAGGAAGUGUACACCCCCGUGUGAGAUGGUCCUUAAUAAUAUUCCAAGGCAGAGGGGGUGAUAUUACUACAUUUAUCGCAGAAAGUGUACACCCCCCCCCAGGGAUGUUGUUCCCAUGAUCCUGGAGAGAAGAGGAUGAUAUUAGUUUAAAUAUGACAGAAGGUGUACACGCCCCAACUGAUAUUGUUUCUAAUUUCAGUGUAGGAGAGGAGGAUAUGACACCCAAUAUCGCAGGGAGUAGAAACACACCUGUGAUACGGUUCUUAAUAUUCAGGGUGGAAGAGGAUGAUAUUACUCUCAAUACAGACGGGUGUACAACCUGCACACCGAGGGUGUACACCCAUCUGUCAAACAGCACAUAAUUUCCAGAGGGGGAGAUAUUACCCCCAAUAUAGUAAACAGGCUGUGAGUCCACCGUGGAUCGUAAUAACUCGGGGGGGGAGAGGAGGUGGCUCUUACUCCCCAUAUCGCGGGGGGUGCCUCACCCCACUGCGAGGUGGAUCAUAAUAGCGAGGGGGGG
This 7425-nucleotide long non-coding RNA is filed under the name Homo sapiens (human). RNAcentral's name for it is "HSALNT0352565". Lineage: Eukaryota; Metazoa; Chordata; Mammalia; Primates; Hominidae. The record is from RNAcentral.